CCUACGGGAUGCACCAGUGGGGAAUUUUGGACAGUGGGCGAAAGCCUGAUCCAGCAAUGCCGCGUGCGUGAAGAAGGUCUUCGGAUUGUAAAGCACUUUCGACGGGGACGAUGAUGACGGUACCCGUAGAAGAAGCCCCGGCUAACGUCGUGCCAGCAGCCGCGGUAAUACGAAGGGGGCUAGCGUUGCUCGGAAUGACUGGGCGUAAAGGGCGCGUAGGCGGUUUAUGCAGUCAGAUGUGAAAUCCCCGGGCUUAACCUGGGAACUGCAUUUGAGACGCAUAUACUAGUGGUCGAGAGAGGGUUGUGGAAUGCCCAGUAUAGAGGUGAAAUUCGUAGAUAUUGGGAAGAACACCGGUGGCGAAGGCGGCAACCUGGCUCGAUACUGACGCUGAGGCGCGAAAGCGUGGGGAGCAAACAGGAUUAGAUACCCGUGUAGUC
Molecule: ribosomal RNA, 440 nt
Filed under: uncultured bacterium
Lineage: Bacteria
Description: bacterial SSU rRNA
Rfam family: Bacterial small subunit ribosomal RNA
Source: RNAcentral